UCUCGAUAAAGGCAAACCUGGUGAAAACCAGCGACGCAAAACUAUAGGGACUACGGUGCAAAUGCACUAUGUCAGCCAGUUACCGAA
RNAcentral lists this non-coding RNA (87 nucleotides) under Bacillus sp. UNCCL13. RNAcentral describes it as "GEMM cis-regulatory element". It matches the Rfam family "c-di-GMP-I riboswitch aptamer". From Rfam's summary of the family: GEMM was predicted in a large-scale screen for bacterial structured RNA regulatory elements. Genes associated with GEMM are involved in a diverse array of functions, including chemotaxis regulation, signal transduction, secretion and chitin. RNAcentral also lists the same sequence under 1 other name. Lineage: Bacteria; Bacillati; Bacillota; Bacilli; Caryophanales; Bacillaceae. The record is from RNAcentral.